GAAUGUGUGAGGAGCGAACCAGAAGAGAUGCCGAGACGAAACACGGCCAGUCGUCGGCAUCUCUUUUGUU
This 70-nucleotide small RNA is filed under the name Phormidium tenue NIES-30. Its description in RNAcentral is "Cyano-1 RNA". It matches the Rfam family "Cyano-1 RNA". Lineage: Bacteria; Bacillati; Cyanobacteriota; Cyanophyceae; Oscillatoriales; Oscillatoriaceae. The record is from Rfam by way of RNAcentral.